GUGAGGAAUAUUGGUCAAUGGGCGGGAGCCUGAACCAGCCAAGUCGCGUGAAGGAUGAAGGUUUUAUGAAUUGUAAACUUCUUUUGCAGGGGAAUAAAGUACGGUACGUGUACCGUUUUGUAUGUACUCUGCGAAUAAGGAUCGGCUAACUCCGUGCCAGCAGCCGCGGUAAUACGGAGGAUCCAAGCGUUAUCCGGAUUUAUUGGGUUUAAAGGGUGCGCAGGCGGGUUGAUAAGUCAGCGGUGAAAGUUUGCAGCUUAACUGUAAAAUUGCCGUUGAAACUGUCGAUCUUGAGUGCAAAUGAGGUAAGCGGAAUGUGUUGUGUAGCGGUGAAAUGCUUAGAUAUAACACAGAACACCGAUUGCGAAGGCAGCUUACUGGGAUGCAACUGACGCUCAUGCACGAAAGCGUGGGGAUCAAACAGGAUUAGAUACCCGGGUAGUCC
RNAcentral lists this ribosomal RNA (445 nucleotides) under uncultured bacterium. Its description in RNAcentral is "partial 16S ribosomal RNA". It matches the Rfam family "Bacterial small subunit ribosomal RNA", at positions 354 to 796 of the family's 1533-position model. The record is from RNAcentral.